RNAcentral lists this RNase P RNA (339 nucleotides) under Erysipelothrix sp. Its description in RNAcentral is "RNase P RNA component class B". It matches the Rfam family "Bacterial RNase P class B". From Rfam's summary of the family: Ribonuclease P (RNase P) is a ubiquitous endoribonuclease, found in archaea, bacteria and eukarya as well as chloroplasts and mitochondria. Its best characterised activity is the generation of mature 5'-ends of tRNAs by cleaving the 5'-leader elements of precursor-tRNAs. Cellular RNase Ps are ribonucleoproteins. The record is from RNAcentral. Lineage: Bacteria; Bacillati; Bacillota; Erysipelotrichia; Erysipelotrichales; Erysipelotrichaceae.
ACACAAAAGAUAACCGCUGCUUAUGCAAUAUUAAGUAGAGGAAAGUCCAUGCUCGCACCAUCUGCGAUGAUGGUAGUGAUUGUGCUUAGCGAACACAUAAGCUAAGGUAUAGAGGCAUCUAUAACGGCCGCACUUUAACCUACGGUUUUAACUAUGGUUAAAGGCUAUAAAAGUGCCACAGAGACGAGCUUCAUUUGAAAGAGUGAAGGUGGAACGUUGGUAAACCCCACAAGCGAGAAACCCAAAAUUGGUAGGGGCAUCGAUCAAUUCGAAUUGAAGAAGCGAUCGGACACAUUUAUGUGUAGACAAAUGGUUAUCGUAACAGAACAUGGCUUAUUG